This 497-nucleotide ribosomal RNA is filed under the name uncultured microorganism. RNAcentral describes it as "bacterial SSU rRNA". It matches the Rfam family "Bacterial small subunit ribosomal RNA", at positions 9 to 495 of the family's 1533-position model. The record is from RNAcentral.
GAGUUUGAUCCUGGCUCAGGAUGAACGCCGGCGGUGUGCCUAAUACAUGCAAGUCGUACGCACUGGCCCAACUGAUUGAUGGUGCUUGCACCUGAUCGACGAUGGAUCACCAGUGAGUGGCGGACGGGUGAGUAACACGUAGGUAACCUGCCCUGUACAGGGGGAUAACAAUCAGAAAUGACUGCUAAUACCGCAUAAGACCACAGCACCGCAUGGUGCAGGGGUAAAAACUCCGGUGGUACAGGAUGGACCCGCGUCUGAUUAGCUGGUUGGUGAGGUAACGGCUCACCAAGGCGACGAUCAGUAGCCGGCUUGAGAGAGUGAACGGCCACAUUGGGACUGAGACACGGCCCAAACUCCUACGGGAGGCAGCAGUGGGGAAUAUUGCACAAUGGGGAAACCCUGAUGCAGCAACGCCGCGUGAGUGAAGAAGUAUUUCGGUAUGUAAAGCUCUAUCAGCAGGGAAGAAAGUGACGGUACCUGACUAAGAAGCCCGG